This 731-nucleotide ribosomal RNA is filed under the name Symbiodinium linucheae. RNAcentral's name for it is "LSU rRNA". It matches the Rfam family "Eukaryotic large subunit ribosomal RNA", at positions 83 to 821 of the family's 3401-position model. The record is from RNAcentral. Lineage: Eukaryota; Dinophyceae; Suessiales; Symbiodiniaceae.
GUAAUGGCGAACGAACAGGGAUCAGCUUGGGUUGGAAACCGNGGCUUCUGCCUUGGAUUGUGGCCUUUAGACAUACUACCAACGGCGGCGCGAGCGUAAGCCUCUUGGAACAGAGCGUCUACGUGGGUGAGAAUCCUGUGUUUCGCUUGAUGCCCGCCGUGCACGGUACUUGCUCUCAGAGUCACGCUCCUCGGAAUUGGAGCGUAAAUUGGGUGGUAAAUUUCAUCUAAAGCUAAAUACAGGCUCGAGACCGAUAGCAAACAAGUACCAUGAGGGAAAGAUGAAAAGGACUUUGAAAAGAGAGUUAAAAGUGCUUGAAAUCGCUGAACUGGAAGCGAAUGGAACUAGUGCUCUGGUUGAGAUUGCUGCAAGUGGCUGUGACAUCUGGGCUCUGGAACGCAAGUCCUUUGUCUGGUUUGAAGUAGUUGCUUGCAAUGUGUCUCAGCUUGAACGUCAACUUCUAUGCAUACGUGAGGAUGGCCCUUGGCUCAUGCUGUGUUGCUGUGGCGAUACUCUUGUGCUUCUGGGGAUUCAGGUGUGUGUGGAUUGUUGAUCAAUUAGUUCCAUUCGACCCGUCUUGAAACACGGACCAAGGAGUCUAGCACUUGUGCAAGUUCUCAGGUGUCAAACCUCUGUGCGCAAUGAAGGUGACUGCUGGGAUUUUUUGCACCAGCAACCGACCAAUCAAUUGGGAGAAGUUUGAGUAAGAGCAUGUGUGUUAGGACCCGAAA